GCGAAAAUUUGGGAAAAUUUGGUGAAAAUCCAUGAAAAUUUGAGGAAAACUGGUGAAAAAUUGAGAGUUUGGGGGCACCUGGGGGCAGAAAAAUGGGGAAAAUCCGUGAAAAUUUGAGGGAAAUUGGUGAAAAUUGGAGAGUUUGGGGGCACCUGAGCUACACCUGGGGGCACCAAAAUGGGAAAAACAGCGAAAAUUUGGGGAAAAUCGGUGAAAAUUUGAGGGAAAUUUGUGAAAAUUUGAGGGAAAUUGGUUAAAAUUGGAGAGUUUGGGUGUGCAGUGGGUGUGGCCCAGGUAUGCAAAUGAUCCCCAGGUGUGAAUGGGCGUGGCCUAAGGAUGUAAAUUACCCCAGGUGUGAAUGGGCCUGGUCCAGGUAUGCAAAUGAUCCCGACAUGUGCAGUGGGAGUGGCCCAGGUGUGAAUGGGCGUGGCCCAGGUAUGUAAAUGACACCCAGGUCUGCUGGGGGCGUGGCCUAAGUAUGCAAAUUAUCUCCAGUUGUGAAUGGGCGUGGCCUAGGUACGUAAAUGACGCCCAGGUGUGAAUGGGCGUGGCCUAAGGAAGUAAAUGACCCCCAGGUGUGCAAUGGGCGUGGUCCAGGUGUGAAUGGGCGUGGUCCAGAUACGUAAAUAACCCCAGGUGUGCAAUGGGCGUGGCCUAUGUAUGUAAAUGACCCCCAGGUGUACAGUGGGUGUGGUCUAGGUAUGCAAAUGAGCUGCACCUGUGAAUGGGCGUGGCCCAGGUAUGCAAAUGAUCCCUAGGUGCAUGGUGGGCAUGGUUCAGGUGUGAAUGGGCGUGGCCUAGUUAUGUAAAUGACCCCCAGGUGUGCAAUGGGUGUGGACCAGGUAUGCAAAUGAUCCCCAGGUGUGAAUGGGCGUGACCAAAGUAUGCAAAUGACCCCCAGGUGUGCAGUGGGCGUGGCCCAGGUGUGAAUGGGCGUGGCCUAGGCAUGUAAAUGCGUAAAUGACACCCAGGUGUUCGGUGGGCGUGGCCCAGGUAUGUAAAUGAGCACAUGAGUCCCAGGUGUGAAUGGGCGUGGCCUAAGUAUGCAAAUGAUCCCCAGGUGUGAAUGGGCGUGGUCCAGGUAUGUAAAUGCCCCAGGUGUGAAUGGGCGUGCUCCAGGUAUGUAAAUGAGUCCCGGAUGUGAAUGGGCGUGGCCUAAGUAUGUAAAUCACCCCCAGGUCUACAAUGGGCGUGGCCCAUUUAUGCAAAUGACCCCCAGGUGUGCAAUGGGUGUGGCCCUGGUAUGUAAAUAACCCCCAUGUCUGCAAUGGGCGUGGCCUAAGUAUGUAAACGACCCCCAGGUGGUCAGUGGGCGUGGCCCAGUUGUGAAUGGGCGUGGCCUAAGUAUGUAAACGACCCCCAGGUGUGCAGUGGGCGUGGUCCGGAUAUGCAAAUGUGCCCCUUCCCCGAGCAAUAAACGCACCUGGACACCCCCGAA
Molecule: long non-coding RNA, 1438 nt
Organism: Agelaius phoeniceus (red-winged blackbird)
Lineage: Eukaryota; Metazoa; Chordata; Aves; Passeriformes; Icteridae
Source: RefSeq, a predicted model, not a curated record